GGGAGACUAGCCCCUGGUUUGAAUUAUCUGGUUCUCACUGGACUGUCCUUCCCAGGAGAACAUAUUUGCCGCAGCUGCUGUGGGCAGUGUCUGGCACAGGAGACCGUGAAUGAUGUUUAUCGUGUUAUUCAAGCGGGCAGUCGGCUUUUCCCACAGCCAUCAGAAUUCCAGACUUCUCGCUGACCUGUUACUUCCAAGGAGCUGGAGGUGGCGCCAGAGAAGGUGAAGUCCGAACCGCUUUCCCUCAGGACCAGGCUGAACCGGUCUCUUCUUUCAGCCUCUGCAAGGAGCCUGGACCUGCGUGUUAACCAGGGGAUGCAGGUGCUCACUCACAACUGCAGUGAGUUAACAGGUGGAAUUUGAGAGCUACGGCUCCUUCUUUAAAAACGUGCCGUAAAAAAGAAUCGCAAGGAGGUGGUUACUGUGGACAACUCACAUAGAGGGCUUCCGGCGCGGCGGUGGGGGCGCAGAGCCUCGGAAGAUGGAUGUUCAGAAACUUUCCUCAUGGUUGCUCUGCUGCGGCUGCUUUUCUCGGGCUGCUCCCUGGCCAGUACAGAGAAAAGGACUUUGAGGGACUCACAUCGAAGCGCACGGGGGUAAUUCGGUUCUGUGGAACAGGCUCAAACUCAAACAUUUUAAGAGCCAAAUUAAAAGGUGUCAUUCAGGUGACAGCAGGAGAGGUUAGGGCUGCCACGUGCCGGCGAGCCUUCCGCUCAGUGACAUGUGAGCUCCCCCGGACCCGGACCCGGAGCUGGGGGGUGAGGUCUGGGGCUCGGGAGCUGGGGGAGUCCUCACGCAGGACGGUUCCCCACUGACAGGGCUGUAGGCAUGUUCCUGCCCCUGUAGAUUAAGGGCCUUGUAACGUCCUCUGUGACUGUUUCCUUUGUUGUGGCAAUGCUUAGUGAUGAUGUUUUUUUAAAAGAAAGAAAGAAAAGAAUAAUUGUAGAAAUGACCAGCCUAGAUUCUAAAACUCAUGCCUUUUCUCUUUCUUCCCUUCCUUCCUUCUUUCCUUUUCCUCCUUUUUUCCCCCUCAAAAUGAUUUGAUGAUCGUUUCCUCACCUGUGGCACCAUUUUAAUUACUUACACCUGGUGUUUAAUGUCAUGUCACUUCAUACACGGUUCCCGCUUCCCUUCAGAGUCUCCUCAUGCUGUUUUGUGUGUCUGGCGCCUGCUGUCUGAUGUCCUCAGGGCCGCAUGUAGCGUUCUGCACCACCCACCCCUCCCUCUCCUAGUGGGGAGCUCCUAGUGUGUCCUCCCUACAAGUUUAGAGGUGAUGUUUCCAUGUGCUGCCUUCACUGAAUUGUGACUGGAUGGGGUGCAGAUUCUGCUGGCGCCUUGAAAAGUAAGGGAAGUAACCAGGACAGACGGAGCUGGGUGCUGGGAUGGGGUGCGUGCUCUGUGUACCGACUGCUUUGCAUUCAGAGAUCUGAAAUUUCUGGACUUUGGCCAUCUGGUUACCUUUUGCUAGCGGGCCACCUACUGGGUGAAAAGAUAUCAGAAGCUGGAGGCUGGGGGCUGGUAGGGAGAGAGACUGAGCCCGGACCAGUUGUCCCAUGCCCGUGAGUGGAGUGGGGGGAGCUCUGUAGGGCCCUCUGGAGAACCAGCAGAUGCAGCCCGGGAGACGCAGGCGUUAGAUUCCUGUAACGCAGAGGAGGCAGCCAGUGGUGGGGAGGCAUCAGUGAGGCCAGGGGAGCAGAAACCCUGCUGAUUUAAUAAAGGUGGCUCUUCUGGGAGAGCAAGCAUUUCGCCCCACCCCUGCCCCGUCCAAAGGACUAAGGAGAGGGAGGAGGGGCCGAUGUGGUCACCCCCUUCCAUCCCUCGCACCCCCACAGCUGACGUCUAGCCUCAUGGGGGCAGGACAGCAUCAAAUAGGACAUGAGACUGAAGCUUCAAAAUAGACAGAAGGCAGUUCUUUACUGAGAGUUACGGAAACGGUACAGAAUCGGACUGCUUGAGGUUAGCAGCUUUUGGAAGAAGAAGCAUUUCAGGUGUGUGACCAGUGAGCUGAAACAUGUCAGUCAGACUGGGGGUAACAGCUACUGAGUGGAUUUUCCUAGCACGGCUGGGAGCUGGCAGGAGGGGGCUUAGCCCAGGGUCUCCUCCUGUCCUGCACUGUGAGUGGUUUCUGCAGGCUUUCUCAGCUUGAACGGCGGUGGUUCUUUGCGGCUCUGAGGUCUGCCAGCCUCAUGUGACUUCUCUCUUCUUGUGCACAUGCUCUGACUCAGCCAUGAGUCAGACUCCGUGUCUCGGAGGGAAGCUCUUCAACCCACAGAAGCAGAGGAAGCAGCUUGUGAGUGACGGGGGGCAGGAGGUGACAGAGGAGCCGUGUGCAGGGGGCCAGCCAGGCUCCUCAUCACGGGGCAAGACGAUGACACGCCUCCCUCCCCACAGCCACACCUCCAAGCACCAGGCAGAGCACAGGGAGGGAGCUGCCAGCCCCAAGUUCUCGCAGCCGCUGUUUGGCGGGGGACUGGGCCAAGCCAGUGCUGCACCUGAGCGAGCUCAUCGUCAGCCCUGAGCCUGAACUCAUUCUGGUCCUUUUCACGUUCUCCAGAAAGCCAAGGAUCAGUGAGGUUAAGCCGUGUGUCCAAAAGCCCAGGUCGGCAUGACUUGGAAAUCAGUGUGGAUUUCAGUGGGACCGACUCUGGUGGUGGGUCGCAGAUGCUGUGGCGAGGCAUCCCCCAGUGACUGGAGGGAGAAGACCUAAGGGAGAUGGACUCACCGGCCACAAAGUGUGAGGGGAUGGUGAAAGAAAUGGACGUGGGUGCAGAGGACAAAGAGACCUGGAAGUCUGGGUGAACGUGGUGGUGUGGCGGCCACCUGGGGAGGACUGCUGUCCAGAGCGUAUCACAGACGCCUCGGGGUGGACCGCAGACGCCACGUGUGGCAGGAAGCCUCUAACCACACCGUGCCCUGGCUUUCACAGGGCAGAGUCGCUGGGCCAGUUCCCGAGCCCAAGGGCCCAUACUCUACUCUGCACCUGUUUUGUGGUGACACCUGGGUCUGGGCAGCCCGCCUCUGCCGCCACCCACAGGGGCUCCUCUCUCCAGGCUUCGGGGGGAGGCACCUGCUUUGCUUUCAGGGUUUGCAUGUCUGACUUGACUGCUCUCUUUCUGACAAGUGGCAAAAACACACCUUCUCAAAGGGACUCUGCUGGUAGCUCCUGCUGCUCCCACAGCCGUCCUGUCUUGCUCUGCUCAGCUGCCCCAGGACCAGGGGGUGAUGAGGCAGGCCCCCAGGACCAGCUCACACAGGCAGCAGGCAGUGAUGGGCGAACCCGGGAGGGAGGCUGACAGUGAGGGGGUAACUUCCCAGCCCCGCGGUGGAUGGGUCUCUGGUUCCAUAUGCAGUUGGGUGAGCUCCGGAUGGAACCUCUGUGGUCUGCCUGUAGCCUGUCCCAUCGUGGAAUCUCCUCUUCUUUUAGCUCCUGUAGAAGUGACCUUGGCAGUGACCCCAAGCCAGCACCUCAUCUGUUUGCUUGUCAAUGGGGAAAGCAGGGAGGGCGGCCCCUUCCCCUGUCAGUGGGCGUCUCGGGGGUAGUGGUGCAGAUGCGAUGGCGCGGACGCGAUGGCGCGCGGGAGCAGGGGUGGCACAGGAUGCUUUUCUAAGUGACCUGUAAAUAGAUCAUGUGAUUGUUGUGGAGUCAAAAAUGGUCACCUGGGAACCCAGCUAUGAGGCCUACAGAGUGCAACUUACAGGGACUAGUUCUCAGAUGCUGGGGUUAACCACCCCUGUGCCCCAGGCCCCGGAAGGAGCAAGGGCAGCAGUUCCGGGCUCAGCAGAUGAACUGUCUUAGUGAGCAGGCUGCUGAGAUGAGCUUCUGCUCGGACCAGGGAAGGCCUUUAGCUGCAGCCCCCCCUCAUCACACGUCCUUGGUCUCAUGCGGACGUGGCUCUGGAGCUCCGGCAGUAAGACGAGGUGGAGAGCCCCAGUCAUCACCCCCAGUCCUGUCCUACUCUGGCUUUGGGCCUGGCCUGUCUGCCCUUCCGACCAUCACACUCUCUUAAACGCUUCCAAAAGGAGACACGAGCAUCAUUUUGGUUUGAAGUGGGUAUGCUUCGAAAAAAUUCUUUUAUUAAAACAAUGGGUACAAAUACUUCACUUGGCCCCUGGGUCCUCUGCCAUGGCUCCCAGCUCAGAGUCAACGGAUGCAGCACUUGGCCUUCCCGCUGUAACAGGUGCCUUCGAUCCUGUUGAAGAGUGGGCAGGGGGAGAAGUUGCAGGUCCCCCCUUUCUUGGCACAUAUGUAGUGGUCAGACCUCUGGCCGAGACCUGUAAGGAGGCUGACACCUGUGGGAAGGGAAGGAAAGCACUUCAGAGUCUUGGUUUACAGCCGCAGGGACUUGUAAACACUCGGUGAAAGGACAGAGCACCCUUAGCAAAGCACUUCGCACAGUUUUCCCUUCCAAGGUCUUUGCACCCAGCUGAUCUGUGGGGCCGCUCAGGCAGUGAGGCAUCUGAAGAGCCCCUCUGUCUGAGGUCUCUGCCAGCUUUGGCCCAACAAAAGCGAGGGACAAGCAGCAGGGUUCCUGCCUGGAGAGCCUUAAGGUGUGCAGGGAGUUCGAGUUAGUCGCCAAAUGGACGUCCUACCACAUCGCACUGUUGCCCGAACACCACCAUCUGUUCCAGGAGUGCGGAAGCAUCUCUCUAACUCCAGGAGAAUUCCCAAACUCCCCUCACUCCUGUGCCAUUUAGAAGUCCUUCUGACCUGAAUCGCUGAUCCCCUGCCUCCCCCAUCACUGUGUCUGCUGAAAUCUAAGAUCCUUUAAUGUCAGGUUGAAAUUAUAGCUACUCUGUAACGGUCUCAUCAUUUUCCCAGUUAAAAUUUAUUUUGUCUUCCUGCCAACCAUAAUGUGAAGGUCUCUGGACUCGUCUUUCACUGUAUCCAACAGAAAAAGCCACCCUCUGACACCCCUGGUAAGUGGCCACUGCUCCAAGCCUUUGUUUUGUGUGCCUCUGUUGAUGAGUGUUAUGGCCUGAAACAUGCCCCCUCAGGUUCAUACCCUGUUACAUAAGAAUGUGACUGUGUUUGGAGAUGGGGCCUUUAAAGAGGUGAUGAAGGUUAAAUGAGGUCUUAUGGAUGGUCCCUAAUCAGUGUGAUGGUGUCCUUAUAAGAAGAGGAAAUUUGGACACAGACAGACACGAGGGAUGUGUGAGCACACAGAGGAAGGGCUGUGUGAGGACAGAGAGGGAAGCCCUCUGCCAGUCAAGAAGAAACCAAACCUGUCUUCACCCUGGUCUUGAACUUCUGCCGCCCAGAGCUGUGAGAGACAAGCGUGUGCUGUUGAAGCCACCCACCCGCACUGCGGCGUUUUGCUGCGGCAGCCCGGCAUGACCAAUGCAGUGGGUCAUUACCAACCUAGGAGGCAGGCAUUCUGCUCUCUGCUUGCCGGAAAGCUGGGUUUUAUACUAAUUGAAAUUGUCCUUUCAAUAACUUCCAGCUAGUGGCUCUUUUCCUGCUUUAUACAGAUAAGUCUAAUCACUCAGAAGGCAGUCCCAUUUUAAGUCAUUCUUCUUCUUUAAAAGCCUUCUUUUUCUCAUUUUUCUCAGUGCCUAGUUUCCAGGCCCUUCACAGUCCUGUUCAGUCUCCUCCGGACAUGUUCAGGUUCAUGGAUAGACUUCCUGAGGUCUGAGUCCUGGAAUGAAUACCGAGUACCUUAGAUGUGUCCCAGCUACCAACAGCAAGGAGGCUUCCCCUCUCUCACUGGCACUACACAGUCGUGCUGUCCAGUGGGGUAGCCCCAGCUACACAUGGUGACUUACGUUUGAGUUAGUCAAAACUACAGUAACCAAAUACAAUUAACUGUAGAUGUUUAGAGACCAGAUGGACCUGAGAGCUCAACUACUUCAACUUCUCUAUAAUCUUCUCCCCAGAUGAAGAAGCUGAGGUCCGGCAACACCCCCCGGGGCAAGCAGCUCCAGAGGCAGACCCAGGACCAGAUGCAAACCCCCUGACCACUACCCCAGUUCUCACGCCCCCUCUCUGCUGGUGGAUCAUGGUGUCAUCACAAUUACCAAGAACUCAUUUCUGGUAUUAUCUUCGAGGAUCCAGUGUGUUAUAAGACACAAAAGAAAUAGCAGCAUGUUUAGGGUCAGGAUACUUUGGUUACAGUCUGUGUUCUGGAAGGAACAUGUGUGAUUUUUAGCAAAGCACUCAAACUUUUGAGCCCAGCUUCUCAAAUUUAAAAUUGAGGAGACUAGACUAUGGGAUCCAUUUCCAAGAUUCUGAGGCUGAUCAUCUUUCCCUUGGUGGGGAACUAACACAUUUAUGGUUGCAUUUUAUCCUUUUCCCUAAUUUACAGACCAGGACAUUGAGGCCCAGAGAGAUUAGAUGUUCCUGUAAUCUGAUCAGUCAAUGAUUAGAUUAUCGCUAUAGAGGCAGAAAAAUAUUGGAAAAAUUCAACAUUGAUUUAUGAUAAGACUUCUAACAAAUAAGGAACUGGAGGAAACGUCCUUAAUCUGACAAAGAACACCUGCAGAAGCCUGCAGCAAACAGUACACUUAAAGGUCAGGCACUGAAAAUAUCCCAUGAGAUUGACCAUCAGACCAGCACAGCUGCUAUUGUCAUUGCCUUUCCACAUUGUGCUCGAGGUGCUAGCCAGGGGGAUAAGAUAAGAAAAAGUAAAAUGCAAGGGUUAGAGAGGAAGAAGGAAAAUUAUCUCUAUUUGCAGAGAUUAUGAUUAUAUGUAGGCAGUCUGAAAGGAAUUAAGAAAAUUUAUCAAAUUUGCUAUAUAUGAGAUCAAUAUACAAAAAAAGAAUUUUACUUCUGUAUAUUGCAACCAACAGGAACAAAUAAAAUUAAAUAAAAACACCAUAUAGAAUAGCAUAAAAUAUGCUUAGUUAUAAGUCUAAGAAAUUAUGUGCAAUACCUCCAUCAAUAAAUACAGUAUUUUUGUAAGUUAAAAAGGCCCCAAGUAAGUGGAAAUGCUAUUUAAGCUUUGGAAGGUCAUUGUAAAAAUGUCAGUUUUCCCCAAAUUAAUCUGCAGAUUUAACCGAAAUCCAUGAAAAUCCCAGGAGGUUCUUUCAGUGAGACUUGAUGAGUUAAUUCUAAAAUUCAUAUGGAAAUUCAAAGAUCCAAGAAUAGCCAGGACACUCCUGGAGGAGAAGGUGGGAGAACUUGCUCUCCUGGAUUAUGAGGCUAAUUAUAGAGCCACUGUAAUUAGACUAUGCGGUGAAGAUGCAAGGACAAACAGGCAAGUCUCACGGCACAAGGAGUGCAGGGGGAGGCCUGUGCGCGUGUGGGGAGCUGCUGUGGGACAGCAGUGGCUCAGGACAGUGGAGAAGUGGAUUUCUUAGUAGUUGGCUCUGGGACGACUGGAUAUUCAUGGUGAAAAAGGAAAAACGUUACCCUUGACUCACACCAGACACACGCAUGGAAAACCCCUGCCAGAUGGAUCAUAAGCCUGCCUGUAAAAGGAAAACAAUAAGCCUCUCUUCAUGCCUUUGGGGUAAAAAAAACCCAAAAGAUUCCUUAAGGAACAAAAGCAGUAACCCUAAAGGAAAACAUGUGACACAUUUAGCCACAUUAAAAUAACGUGGAAAACCUCUGAGAGAGCUUCCAUGAAGACGGUGAAAAAUUAAGGCACGACACAGGAGGAGAUACUUGCAAUGCUUCACAACCGGCAAAGGGCUUCUCUGCAGAGUAUAUAAAAAAACUACUACAAAGCAUUAAAGAAAAGACAGACAAUCAGACAGAAAACAGAGGCAGAGGACAAACAGGCACUUCACAAAAGAUAUCCCGGUGGUUGGUGAUUAUAUACACAAGUGCUCGACUUCUUAUUUAUGAGGGAGACGCACAUUGAAACUCCAGGGCAAUGCCACUACGCUCGCCAGAUUGCUAAAACGUAAGAAUGACUGACAUCGUCAGGGGUCGUUGGCACGGGUGUGGAGGGACGGGAAAUUCCGUUCACUGGUUGUGGGAGUGUGUGUUGGCACAGAAAGGCUUCGGAGAAUGGUUUGGCCUUGUGCACUGAGGUUCAGUGCCGUGAGCACAUCCUGCCACCCGGCCACGCCACCAGCUCUUGAUACGCAGCCAACGGAAAGGCACGCACAAACCAGGCUCUGUGAUUGAACGUUCACCUGGUAAGAGUAUAAGAAAUCCAGGAAGUUAUUGCCCUAAAGAGGAGGGCUGCUCGCCCUUGGGGGAAGGAGGGAGCCGUGCCUGGGGAGGAGAGCUCCUUUCGUGCCAGCCGAGUCCCAGCUCUUGCCUUACAUCGGGGUUACUGGGGUGCUUUUUUUAUACUAAUUCGUCAAGCUCGUGUUUCAUGUGCUUUUCCAGAUGCAUGUUAUAUUUUACAAUUAAACUGAAAAAAAAAAAAAUGUUUCCUCUGUGUAUUCCUAGCGCCGAGGACAUCCUGUGCUACGUGCAGCUUCCCGCGUCCUCUCCCGUCGGCGCACUGGGCCAUUUCCGUCCACUUCUCGGGCACAGGAGCUCCUCAGACAACUCACAGCCCCACCUCCUCCUCCCCUUUCCCACUAAGGAUGGCACUUGCCUGGACUUUUGCUUAUUCUUGUCUUGGCCCUCACUCAGCUGGCCUGAGAAACACAACCCGACACAUCACGUGGUGGCCUCUGGAGCACCGUGAGCCAGAGGAACGUGGGAAAGAGGAGACUUGCUUAUAGCUUCCUCAAGAAAGCUUUCCUGGCUCCUCAAGACCAGCUCAGCCCCACUGUCAGGGGUCCUCUUAGCACCGUGCACUUAACAGCCUCUCACAGCACGUUUGUAAUUAGGUGAUUAAUCACACAAUCGGUUUUCUCAUCAUGCUCUGCUUCUCGAAUGUGUGGUUGCAAGCGCAAGGGCUGCGUUUUCCUGGCCCUCCUCACGUUCCCAGGGCGAUGCCUGCACGCAGUAGCUCCUAACUAAGUAUUUGUUGAAUCUGUGAGGGAACAACUGCCACCUGUCUCGGUUUCUAGACACCUUGGCUGGGGUGCCGUCCAGCUGAGGAAGGGACCUGGGCCGCCUUGUCACUGUGACAUCGUUGUGUUCACAGAGGACCAUCUGUGUGCAGUAACAGUGGGCAACCCGUUUCUUUCUUCUCUCAGUGAUGAGAACUCCUAAAGGGAACGUCAGUCUUACUGUUUCCUGCGGUGACUGAGAAACCCUCGUCCAGUCGUGUGGGUCUUGAUUUCCCCACCUGUGAAACGACUGGGGCUACAGGGGGUGAAUGCACUCACCCCCGACCCUGGGGGCUCAGGUGGGGCGGGUGUGAGGCUGGGCUGAGCAGCUCGGCUUCCUGCACUGACCCUGAGCUGUCCAUCGGUCGGCAGUGGGGGGACAGCCUGUGGGCAGCUGCAGCAGCAGUGACAACCGCACAGCAGUGGCAACAACAACAACAACACAGAACACCCCACACGGUGCCUGGAAGCCGAGCAGAGAGCAGGUGAGGGCUGGGAGACACAGGCUGGGGACACCGCAUGUUCUAAGGCAGAAGACAUCUGGGGCUCUCCUUCCCCUCCAGACAGUGGCGCCUGGCACCCGACACCCCCCUAGAAAACGCUUGUGUUAAGUUUGCCCUUCCCUGUGGCCUCUUUCAAGAUGCGACCGUGUCAGGACAGUGGCAGCACCUUAAAGGUGGUGCUGGGCCUGCAGGGACCUCGGGUGCUCAGGGCCGCCCGGCUUCAGCCCCGCGGGGGCCGUGGGCGCUGCUCCUCCCCUCACAGAAGGUGAGCGGGUGUUGGCGACCAGUCCCAAGGGUCCCGAGCCCCCUGCUGAGAAUCCGUUUCCGGAAGGUUCUCUGUGGACAGGGUUUGCCUGUCAUCAGAGAUGCUUCUCCUGGGGGUAUCUCAGCGAGAUGGGUACACACUGGGUGCCCUGUUAUGUCACUGAUAGUUCUGUGCGGCGCGGUUAGUGAGCUUAGCUGUUCCUGCAUAUCCUUGGAAACUUAUUUCCUAUGCUUUGGAUUAGAUGCUCAUAAUCAUAUUUAGAGGUCACAACUGAGAAUAACUCUUCGCAUUAACAUAGUGGCUUUCAAACAUUUUUGAGUGUGAACUGAGCUGCAUUAAGGAAUUUUGCACAGCUGCUCAGUACGCGCGCACACACACACACACGCACACGCACACACACGCAGCUGAAACGACAGCACGCUAAGCUGCAGGGCCCCUUACUGUGUGGCCUGCCCAGCUGCGAGUUUCUAUUUGAAAAAUCACUAAAUUGAUUUCUCCACCUCUCUACUGGGUUCCAACUGGAACCACUGAACCUCUGCACUGGAAUGCUUCUGUGCCCAGUCAUCAGACGGGGGUCCUGAGGCACACCUGGAGUAUGUUAGGCAUGUCCGCAUGAUAAGAGUCGUGGCCGGGAGAAAAGCACACCUGGACCUUUCAGGGAACCCCAGAGCGCUAAUGCUUUUACAGCCAUCUGCCACAGCCCCUUCAGUUGUCAGCUGAGAAUAAGCCCAGAAUAUGUGACUUGCUCGAGGUCACUUGGUGAGUGGGUGAUGGGGCUGCGAUAAAAUGUGCUCCACCUUCUCCUGCAUCAUGGACACUACUGCCUUGAUCCAGAGGAGCUGGCCUCCUGUGGCCUGAGAGAGCGCUCCCCUCCUGGGCACCGGGGAAGGGCUUAUCCUGGAGGAUGUGAAUGGAUUUCUUAAGACGGGUGGAUCCCUGCCUGCCUGCCUGCAGGUGAGUCAAAGCUCCGGCUGAACUGGUCUUGUGGGCGGGGCGGGCGGCACCUUGCUUGCAGCAGGCACCUGGGAGGCACCUGGGAGGCCCCACCCUGCGAGCUGGAGAGAGAUGGGCAGCAGCCUGGCCUCCCAACUAGCCAGGAUGCUGACCUCAGUGUGGGGAGCUGUCUUGCAGACGGAGUAGGUUUUACUUCUGGUGACGGGAAAGCAGGACCCAGGCUUCCACGGGUCGAAGAGGAAAUGGUUGACCAGGAGCGAUGGUGGUGGGUGUGGGGCCCUGGCUCACACGCUUCGUCCACGCGAGCCGGGCCACAGCGACAGAAACGCUGAGGCGAAGGGAAGGGUUUUGAUAUUCUUUUAAGAUGCGACAGGAUCCCGUGAUUAAGGGAAAGAGCCAGUAACAGGGCAGAGGUGAAGGGCCUGCACAGAGAGGUGGGGAGUGGACGGGGUCCCCAAGGUGGGAGGGGUGACGUGGUCAGGGCUUGGAUGGGGCUUGUUUCUGCGCAGGAGGAAGGACAUCUCCGAGGCUGGGCAGGUGGGAGAAGACGCUGAGGGGCAAACGGUGGAGCAGUCUUCCCUUGAUGGCCCAGGGUUUCUGUCAGGGGAGGGGAGAGGCACUUCCUACCCGUGAUGGGGCUGGCGAGGCCCGAGGGCAGCUGGACAGGCUCCGAUCUCCACUGGGCCGUGGGAGGGAGGGCAGAGCGGGCUCCUGGACAUGAGCUGGGCACUGUCGAGGCCCCAGUGGAGGCCGGGGGCCUGGGAUGUGUCACGUCCUGGUCACGUUUUUCAGGUACGCUUGGAUCUGCACGGCCGUAGCCAGAUGUUUCGGGCCCAGCUUGCUGCGUGGGCACUGAACGUCCAGGCUUGAGCCCCGAGGUCUGCUCUGUGCCCCACAGAAUUGGCUUUGCAUUUCUGCUCUGAGUUUCUCUGUACUUCUGGCACCUGAGGACUUAAUUUCCGUUCUCUCGCUCUUGGUCCUGGAGUAACACUCACUUGCUCUAGGUGUUUUCCGCAGUCCUCCUCUGCGGUUGCAGCGCUGUCGGGGUCGGGGCCACGUCGCCGCGUCAGCACGUCUCCAGUGGCCAGAAGCCCUGGCGGCCGGGUCCAACGUGCACGUGAUGAAGAGGUGCUGCCCGGAGAUCGGGGAAGCUCCAGGCUUGGUCAGGUUUGCCUCGUAUCGCCCUUGGAAAGUUUGCUUAUGCUUUCCAGAGCCGUGAACAAGAAAUGACCCGGGCUGGGCUGUUCUCGGAAGAGGCUGUACGUGUCCCAGAAUUUCUAGCGCCCUCCCGGUUUCUCCCACAGGCACCUGACCUUGAUUCCAGCUGGCUGAGGCCACGUCCUUGUCUCCGUGGUUUCUAGGACGUGUCCGUCUCCCAGGCCACACGCCCGCCACUUCCCGGAGGCAGGAGCUGUUUGUGCAGGCACGGUGUGGGCGUUCCCACCCCUGUGCCUGCAUCUGGUCCGAGAACCAUCAGGCGGGCUGGAUCAGCCCCUGAGUCACACGGACUGGACCCCACAUCUGUGCCUUCGCCUAGAGGCGGGUCAGCUCAGACGUGGCGGCAUCUGGCUGCCCCUUCCAUUCUGCAGGAAGGACAAGUGGACAGGACAGCAGAUCUAACACGUCUGUGCUGAGGAAGGAACUGAGCGACAGGAGGGGCUCGGGGAGCACGCGUUCCCGCAGCUCUCGUCUCUGUUCUUGCUCACAUUGUGACGGCACCGUCGUCCCCACUCUCUAGACUGGCAGAGAAUAUCUGCCGUUCCCGGUAGCAGGUCCAGAGUGGAACUCAGAGCAUCAGCACAGCCCGGUGAGCCCUGGCCCGAGGGCCUCGGACCCCAGGCAGAAGCCGACUGUGCGGAGAGUCCUUCCUCGAGAGCCUUCCCCGCUGUGGGUUUUAUUUGCAAAAGCAAUACACGUGUGACAGAAAGCUAAACGACGCUGAAGUGCAUCAGCGGAAAAUGGAGGUGGCCUGGAAGUCUCUCUCCUUCAGACGUAAGGACUGCUGACAGUUUGGCUUCUCUCAUCUGUGACAUUGUCCUCUACACAAAUAGAGCCUGUGUCGUCUUGUGGAGGGAAAACCGGCAUUAGGAGUGGGAACCUGGCUCUGAGCAGGUGUAGACGCUGGUUCCAGGCAAGUUACCUGUGUCACCUCGUUGACUUCACCUGACGGCCUCGGGCGGGAGCACUCCUCCCCAGAGCGACUGUCCUCGAGUCCUUUCCUGUGUAGGACGCCUGUUGCUUUUAUAGAAGAAAGAUAGUCGUUUGAGAAAAACAUCAUGGUGUCGCAUUUCCUGUUCUCGACGCGCUGUUGGAAUUGCCCACUGUCCUCUGGUGAUGAAGCCCUAAGGGAGUGCCACGACUUCACAGAGGGCGUUUUUCCCAGUCUUCUCAUCUGUUCUGCCGCCAGCUCUCCCGGGCUCUGUGGCAGCGCUCAGGUUCCCUGACACACCGCCUGCCUCACGUCCGGGGGCUGCUUAGCGCCCAUGGUGGGCAGGGACUUCCCUGCCGCCUUCCCGAGAGGGGCAGCGCGGGCGCCAGGCACCCCUCCUGCCCCCUCAGACCGUGCGGAUCAGCCAGGCCUGUUUAGGCACGCGAACGGGCCGCCUGUCGCUAGCCCUUGGGUGGCUGCCAGGGGCCCGCCGCUUCCCCGGAAGCGCCCGCUCGGUGGUUUCUCUGGUUCAGUAGCACCGGUGUGACCAGAACGUGGUCAGGCCAUUAGCAGCAACUCCAGGAACGACCACUCAGGGAUGAAGCAGCGGCUUCCCAAAGCGCCGGCUGCCCGCAGGAGGGAGAGGAGAAUAUUCUGGAGGUACCUGAGUCUUUUUCUCUGGAAGGGUCUGGGCUGCAUGAAACGAUAGUGUGUGGGAAGGACCUGUCCUGUCCGAUUGAAGCCAGUAAGCUCAGACCUUCGCAGACCAGAGCAAGGACUUCAGGAACCUCAGCUCCGUAACAAUGAGACUCGUCCACGUGAUCCUCGCCGCUCUCCUUGCCGUCUUCCAGGUGCUGCCCGAUGGCACUAGGGCGCUCAAUUUUGAAAGACCCUGCUAUCUUCGGGGUGGAAUCUGCCUGAAGCAAGGGGCGCCAAACUGUGAGCCCUUCAGAGGACCCUGCCGAGCGCUCACCGUCUGCUGCAGAAUUAAGGGGAGCUGAUGGAAGCCCAGCUGGGGGGGAGUCCUGGCAAGAGAGCUGGGGCAUGGCCCCUCUUGUGCAAAUAAAAGCAAACAGCCUUGUCAAGUC
Long non-coding RNA from Camelus dromedarius (Arabian camel), 13854 nucleotides. RefSeq lists it as uncharacterized. The record is from RefSeq and is a predicted model, not a curated record. The transcript has 14 exons. Lineage: Eukaryota; Metazoa; Chordata; Mammalia; Artiodactyla; Camelidae.